RNAcentral lists this long non-coding RNA (571 nucleotides) under Phoenix dactylifera (date palm). RNAcentral's name for it is "long non-coding RNA (PDAC_LNC003206)". Lineage: Eukaryota; Viridiplantae; Streptophyta; Magnoliopsida; Arecales; Arecaceae. The record is from RNAcentral.
UUUCUCUGCCAAUCUCGUCACUUAUUUGAAUUUUUCCGUAAAAAACUACUCCUCUGAUUUUAACAAGUCAUCUUAAAAGCAAUAUCUUAAAAUCAAAAUACAAUAAUAAGCAUAUCCUUGUCUUGCUUUGUCAAACAAAUAAUCUGUUCAAUUUUUCUAUAAUUACUCUUUUCAUGUUCCUAAGUCUUCUUAGAGCCCUCGCCUUUCUAGAAUGCUAUGAUUUUUUUCCCACCGAUAAGGACUAAGAACAAUGCAAUAAUCUUUUUGAUGGAUGCUACUUUGCCAAUACAAUCGAUGCAAAUUAUAUGAUAAAAUAAAAAAAAUGGAGGCAAACUUUUCGAGAGCAGUAAAUAUGCAAACAUUAUUUGUCUAGGCUGCGCAUGAUGCCAUAUAAUGCAUCUCUACUCAAAUUCCUACUCAGUCGGCUUGUAUGCUCUCCAUUCAUCAUCCUACUAUAGGUAAAAAAUACAUAUAUAUUAUAUAAUUCAAAAUUUCUUUGUAGUUACAUAAUCUCCUUUUAUCUUCUUCACUGUUACAGUUUUUUUAGGGGACGGAAUUAUGAUGUCCUCAA